GACGAACGCUGGCGGCGUGCUUAACACAUGCAAGUCGAACGGAAAGGCCCUGCUUUUGUGGGGUGCUCGAGUGGCGAACGGGUGAGUAACACGUGAGUAACCUGCCCUUGACUUUGGGAUAACUUCAGGAAACUGGGGCUAAUACCGGAUAGGAGCUCCUGCUGCAUGGUGGGGGUUGGAAAGUUUCGGCGGUUGGGGAUGGACUCGCGGCUUAUCAGCUUGUUGGUGGGGUAGUGGCUUACCAAGGCUUUGACGGGUAGCCGGCCUGAGAGGGUGACCGGCCAAAUUGGGACUGAGAUACGGCCCAGACUCCUACGGGAGGCAGAAGUGGGGAAUAUUGCACAAUGGGCGGAAGCCUGAUGCAGAAACGCCGCGUGCGGGAUGACGGCCUUCGGGUUGUAAACCGCUUUCGCCUGUGACGAAGCGUGAGUGACGGUAAUGGGUAAAGAAGCACCGGCUAACUACGU
Molecule: ribosomal RNA, 467 nt
Filed under: uncultured bacterium
Lineage: Bacteria
Description: partial 16S ribosomal RNA
Rfam family: Bacterial small subunit ribosomal RNA
Source: RNAcentral